Suricata suricatta (meerkat) is the source of this 881-nucleotide long non-coding RNA. RefSeq lists it as uncharacterized. The transcript is spliced from 3 exons. The record is from RefSeq and is a predicted model, not a curated record. Lineage: Eukaryota; Metazoa; Chordata; Mammalia; Carnivora; Herpestidae.
CGGGCUGGAAUUCAGGGACGGGAGAUCCCCGAGCCGCCUCCACCGACCCCGCCCCGGGGCCGCUCACGUCGGUUCCGGGGCGGAUUACCCCUCACCAAACGGCGCGGCACUGCGGCUUCGGGAGCCGGGAGAGGGGGAGGGGUCGGAGGCCACGGGUCCAGAAACCGUUACUGGGAAGGCAAGUGGGCUGCGGCAGCCCUGCGCUGGGCGGGGCGGGGAUGCUCGAAUCCGAGACCCGCGUGGGAGUUGAGGGGCGCGAGGCUGGCGUCCUGGGCUAGAGAAAGCCGGCUGAGCAGGGGCCCGGGGAAGGGCGCUCCAGCCGGGGGCGCGGUAACCGCUGCUGCCCGGCUAUUGCUCCGGGCCCUCUCAGAGCCUUCUCCCUCAAGGGCACUCUCAUGGAUCCACCAGAGCCCUAAAAAGCGAAGCCUCUGGAACCUAUAUCCUCCCUCUGUCCGUCUCGCCCCAGAAUCUUCCCCUCGUCCUCCUCGCCCCCUCCCUCCUGCAGAUAUUUCUCUUACCACCUGAGCAGCUGAGCAGUUUCCCCACAAUACUGAGAAGAAUAGAGCUAUGAAGCCAGAAACAUACAAGGACAUUCUGCUAGAGCUUGGUUUCAACCAGGGAAGAAUCGAGACCUUAGAAGGAAUAGACAAAGCAGUUUGGAACAGAAACUGUACUUGUGUUAAUGGUGGAAACGGCACAGAAUGUAAAACCAACCUACCGUCAUUCCUCUGAAACACCAAAAUAAGUAACAGUCCUUCGUUUUGGAGGGUUGUGUUGUUAAUUCCAUAAUAACACUUACAGUGUCAUUACUGCCAUUCUGCAGGGCGCCACCUGCCUUUGCCCUUGACACAUUUGCUUACAACAUGAUCUAUUCUGUGGCC